Molecule: long non-coding RNA, 273 nt
Organism: Dermochelys coriacea (leatherback sea turtle)
Lineage: Eukaryota; Metazoa; Chordata; Testudines; Dermochelyidae
Exons: 3
Source: RefSeq, a predicted model, not a curated record
UAUAGCUGGACCACUUGGUAAUAGUCACCAUAAUAUAAUUACAUUUAACAUCCCUGUGGCGGGGAAAACACCAAAGCGGCCCAACACUGUAGCAUUUAAUUUCAGAAAGGGGAACUAUACAAAAAUUAGGAGGUUAAACAGAAAUCAAAUGGUACAGCACCUAAAGUGAAAUCCCCUUCAAGCUGCAUGGAAAUUUUUGUAAGAUACCAUAAUAGAGGCUCAACUUAAAUGUAUACCCCAAAUUAAAAAACAUAGUAAUAUAAGCCUAAGAAC